CAGCAGCCGCGGUAAUACGUAGGGGGCGAGCGUUGUCCGGAUUUACUGGGCGUAAAGGGUGAGUAGGCGGUUAUAUAUGUCAGGUGUAAAAAGCUAUGGCUUAACCAUAGUAAGCACUUGAAACUGUAUGACUUGAGUGCAGGAGAGGUAAGCGGAAUUCCUAGUGUAGCGGUGAAAUGCGUAGAUAUUAGGAGGAACACCGGUGGCGAAGGCGGCUUACUGGACUGUAACUGACGCUGAGUCACGAAAGCGUGGGUAGCAAACAGGAUUAGAUACCCUGGUAGUCCACGCUGUAAACGAUGAGUGCUAGGUGUUGGGUAGCGAUAUUCAGUGCCGGAGUAAACACAAUAAGCACUCCGCCUGGGGAGUACGGUCGCAAGACUGAAACUCAAAGGAAUUGACGGGGACCCGCACAAGCAGCGGAGCAUGUGGUUUAAUUCGAAGCAACGCGAAGAACCUUACCAAGGCUUGACAUCCCCUUGACAGAUGCAGAGAUGUAUCCUCCCCUUCGGGGGCAAGGGAGACAGGAGGUGCAUGGCC
This 540-nucleotide ribosomal RNA is filed under the name uncultured archaeon. RNAcentral describes it as "bacterial SSU rRNA". It matches the Rfam family "Bacterial small subunit ribosomal RNA", at positions 509 to 1050 of the family's 1533-position model. The record is from RNAcentral.